This 550-nucleotide long non-coding RNA is filed under the name Helianthus annuus (common sunflower). The record is from RNAcentral. Lineage: Eukaryota; Viridiplantae; Streptophyta; Magnoliopsida; Asterales; Asteraceae.
AUGUAUGAAUAUUCAAUGAAUGAAAUGCAAGGGAUGAUAUGUGCUAGAAACUAGCAAUAUGAAAUGAAGGACACUAAUAAGAGCUCUGGAGCAGAAUCUAACAUAAGUAUAGUUAUGAAAGUAACUUACUUAUUAUAAGGGCAUAGGAACGAUGUGUACGAUUACGUACAUACAUGAAUUAAACAUUUGCCAAGAUCCCAAAUGCGUUUAGGUUGUAGUAAGUAUAGUGGAUGAACAACUUGAAAGAGGUAAGAGUAGAAUGGUCUAGUUUGAAUGAGAAAGGUUUCGGGGACGAAACCUCUUUUAAGGGGGGUAGACUUGUAACGCCCCAAAAUUAUGCAAAUUAAUUAUGUUACUUAAGAUGUCUAGUCAUGUAUUAUUUUACCUAGUUAAGUAUGUAUAUGUUAGUAACUUGAUUAGAAGGAAGGUUAUAUGACAAAUAAAAUAUCUAAGUAAAUAGGAGGACUAAACUUGUUAAAAGGUUGAAAGUUUAAUAAAUAAAAGAAAAAAAUAAAAAACACACACCCUGGUGUGAUGGCGUGGAUCGAUC